AGUCUGACGGAGCAACGCCGCGUGAGUGAUGAAGGUUUUCGGAUCGUAAAGCUCUGUUGUUAGGGAAGAACAAGUGCAAGAGUAACUGCUUGCACCUUGACGGUACCUAACCAGAAAGCCACGGCUAACUACGUGCCAGCAGCCGCGGUAAUACGUAGGUGGCAAGCGUUGUCCGGAAUUAUUGGGCGUAAAGGGCUCGCAGGCGGUUUCUUAAGUCUGAUGUGAAAGCCCCCGGCUCAACCGGGGAGGGUCAUUGGAAACUGGGAAACUUGAGUGCAGAAGAGGAGAGUGGAAUUCCACGUGUAGCGGUGAAAUGCGUAGAGAUGUGGAGGAACACCAGUGGCGAAGGCGACUCUCUGGUCUGUAACUGACGCUGAGGAGCGAAAGCGUGGGGAGCGAACAGGAUUAGAUACCCUGGUAGUCCACGCCGUAAACGAUGAGUGCUAAGUGUUAGGGGGUUUCCGCCCCUUAGUGCUGCAGCUAACGCAUUAAGCACUCCGCCUGGGGAGUACGGUCGCAAGACUGAAACUCAAAGGAAUUGACGGGGGCCCGCACAAGCGGUGGAGCAUGUGGUUUAAUUCGAAGCAACGCGAAGAACCUUACCAGGUCUUGACAUCCUCUGACAACCCUAGAGAUAGGGCUUUCCCUUCGGGGACAGAGUGACAGGUGGUGCAUGGUUGUCGUCAGCUCGUGUCGUGAGAUGUUGGGUUAAGUCCCGCAACGAGCGCAACCCUUGAUCUUAGUUGCCAGCAUUCAGUUGGGCACUCUAAGGUGACUGCCGGUGACAAACCGGAGGAAGGUGGGGAUGACGUCAAAUCAUCAUGCCCCUUAUGACCUGGGCUACACACGUGCUACAAUGGACAGAACAAAGGGCUGCGAGACCGCAAGGUUUAGCCAAUCCCACAAAUCUGUUCUCAGUUCGGAUCGCAGUCUGCAACUCGACUGCGUGAAGCUGGAAUCGCUAGUAAUCGCGGAUCAGCAUGCCGCGGUGAAUACGUUC
This 1000-nucleotide ribosomal RNA is filed under the name Bacillus sp. HZDC53. Its description in RNAcentral is "bacterial SSU rRNA". It matches the Rfam family "Bacterial small subunit ribosomal RNA", at positions 380 to 1373 of the family's 1533-position model. The record is from RNAcentral. Lineage: Bacteria; Bacillati; Bacillota; Bacilli; Caryophanales; Bacillaceae.